Molecule: long non-coding RNA, 4096 nt
Organism: Tympanuchus pallidicinctus (lesser prairie-chicken)
Lineage: Eukaryota; Metazoa; Chordata; Aves; Galliformes; Phasianidae
Exons: 4
Source: RefSeq, a predicted model, not a curated record
UAGUCGCAGUGCGGCAAAGCAGACGCAUAGACCCAGGCACAAAGCAGCAUAGAUUUUUUAUUCUCAUCUCUAUUUUUUUGUCCGAGAGACGUUUUCCUGGUGUUAGCACAGGAGCAGACACAGCCUGGAUAUGCUAGCUCCAGCCUGGCAGCACUUUCGGCUGAGCAGGGACUGCGUGGAGCUCGGUGCCCACGCUGCCGCUGAGGAAGAACGCUGCUCUCCCACUCUGUGCCGUGACGAUAACCUGCAGCCACAGGACCGCGGAGAUGGCGGCACUUGUCUCUGUUUGCCUGACUGGGGCCUUUGCAGGUGCUCCCCUUCUGAAGCCGUGCUGGCAUUCCCGGGCCGUACAGAUGGGUAAUAUAAUUUGCUGCAGUUUCUUACAUCAAUGUAGCAAAGCUCAAGCGAGCAACCAGACUCUGACCUAAAUCAGUCCCAGUUCUUUGGGAUACAGGGCAGCAGGCGACUGGCAGUGAUACAACCAGCCAUCAAGUGGAGAGGCUCUGGGACUGCAAUCUGUAUGGGUUGGAGUCUGUGAGAAUGAAACAGUUCCCGUUAUCCGGUCGCUUCUCCUUCUAAUAAUGCAAUUGCUACAACUGCUACUACUACUGCAUCUGUUUUUCCUUGCCUGAAAGAAGCUACUCCUCGUGCUCUCUCUGUGUGGGUAUUUGCGUAGAUUAGUCUGUCGGUAAUGCAGCCCUUAUCUGCUUCUGCUGGAAACCAGGGCACGAAGUCAGCCUGCCUUAACAGUUGUUUCUUUCUGCGUGAUGCUAUGCAGCUAGAAUGGGUUACACUGACAACAAAGGAGCCAGCACAAAGCAUCACUUUAUUUGCUGGACUGCUACAGGAACCCGACUCAUCUUUGCUACGAAGCCCUGUUUGGUUUUGUGGGGGUUUUUUUGUUGUUUUUUUUUUUUUUGCAAUCCAUCUAAUCGAAGAGCCUAACAGACACCGUCGUGGAUGUGGGUUUUAAUGAUUUGGAAAAGACAGCCUGUGGAGACUGCGAUUGGAGACUGCAACACGCUUAGGUUAUUGCCAAUUUGAAAUACUUGGUUUGUGAAGCACAGCCCUAAGGGACAAGUGCAGUAACUGAGAGAGAGAUCGUAGAUAAAGAAAUAAAAAUGACAAGCAUAAUGGAGGCUCUGCAAGAAACUGUCAGGGAAUCAGUUCAUGGAUGGCAAUUUCACCAGUCUGAAUCUGAAUAAUUCAUAGAUUGAAAUUACCCUGCUUUCACCUUUCCAUUUAAACUGGCACGAUCUGAAUCUCUAAUAAAUUUUCAAGAUAAAGUAAAAUGCCAAUUUGAAUCUGAAGAGCUUUUAAAACCAGAUGCUACACCCUGUGUCUUUCGAUACCUUUCACAAUUAUCCUGUGAGAGCCGCACUUCAUCACGAAGCACCAUUACCAGUGAAAAUUACGGUGAUUACAAUAGCAACAAUAGAAUACCGUCAAAUGAUCUCCAAUUUACCUAAUUUACCAAGGUUGACUGUGUGCCCGUUGUGCUUCACUACGUCUGGCAUCGGAUCAAUAUCACAGAGGAGGAAAAAUGCCUCAGUGUAUGCUUCCUUUUGGUGCCGUUAACUUUGACAGCACAGGAAAAUCUAUCUCCCGUUAAAUGUUUUUACAGCCCAUCUGCAUGCCUGCCGUAGGAUCUGAUUGAUUCUCCAUCAUUUUCUUUACUUCUGAGUAUUGGAUGUUAUUGCGUUACUAAUUUGUUUCUAACGUGUACUCCUGCACAAAGGCUGCAGCAAAUGAGUAACAGCACAGCGACUGCACUGCUGCAGCAGUAGCGCUGCUCUCUCUCACAGGGGAAGCCAAAAUGAGUUCGGUGCCUUAUGUGAAUAAUCACUUGCAUCUGGGUUAUAAAUGCUUCCAAGCAUCGCUCAUCUUGGUUGCACUACGUGAGAAAUGUGUGCGAAAGUCGUGGUCAAGGGAAAUGGUUGUGUGUAAUCCUAAGAUUUUUUCCCCUAUCCAGCAAUCAGCGUGAGGCUGUGAGAGAUAGGCUGCGACUCUUUCAGUAAACAUGUGUGUGUACACAUGCAUGCACGUACAUAGGAGGUAAGGAUAGUAUGCGUUGUGAUUGUGUGCUGAUCAGUGAAAGCAACAUUUCUCUGACAAGUCAGGCACAGUGUUUUACCACAGUCUGCUCAGUUGUAACAAAUCCCACUUUUGGAGUGUAUAUUUUCCAUAGGACAAUGUGUGACUGCUGGAACAGUAAGUACCAUUUAUACAGCAUGUCGGUGCCUAUAGCAGUGCCACGGAAUGGGAUUUUAAGCAUAGUUUGACUACAGUGUGGAUAAGUAAGAAACAUGCACAGAAGGCUACAACAGGCAUUCCUCCUGGAGAAGACUGUGUCUGUUGUCUGUAUGUGUGUGAGUUGUACACAUCAAUCUUGUUUUUUCUUUUAUGACCAGAUUUACUCUGCCUCCACGGAGUAUUUGCUAAGGAAGAGAAUCCCUGUGGAGCUGAUAGCUGUGGACUGAUGGCUGGUAUACCAAGCAGCAAGUGGAGAAUCUCCUCCAGACGUAGUCACAGCAGAAGCCUGGGGAGAGUGCACAGCUCGCUGCCUGCAGGAACCACCUUCUUCACAAGGCUUCUGGAAAAUAAGCACAUUGCUUGGCCAAGUUAGGUCUUCCAUGUUGGAAGCUCCACACUAAAGAAAUUAGCUAGCACAACGAAAGGCCGCCUGGUGACUGUCCCACCAUCUCUGUUGCUCACAGGAAACCACUACUGCUGCACUGGUUCUACUGUGUCUGAGGGCUGUGGCUUCAAAUUGCAGUAAGGCUGAUAAAAUAACCAGCUGCCAUGAAAAGAAGUGUGCUCUUGCAUGUAAUCUCCCUUGUGCUAGCUGUGGUCCCAUGGUAAACUGAUGCAGGGAGAUGGCCAUCAAUAUGCCACCCUCCUCAAAGAAGUAGUUCUCAGUGUGGUGUUGUCUUAGUCAAGCUUGUCAUUAAAUAGCAGCAAGCACAAGAAACUACUGAGCAUUUUUUUCACAUGUGGGCUAGAAAAGAUUGAGGUUGUUACUAUUUUACAAACCAAAAGAUCCAAAAUACCCAGUAUGGUGAGUGCAGCACUGAAAACAUCACAUUAUCCUAUUCCUUGGAACCUAUUAUUGAAAGGCUCAUAUUGGGAAAAGAAAAAAAAAAAAGAAUAUAACACAAACCAAAACAGUAGGCUAGGAGCUGGAAAACAAAACCAAUUAAAUACAAAUAGAUUAUGGACACCUUGUAACACAGAAUUCCUGUGCAUUGUCAUCUGCUGAUUAUUAGUUUCAUUUAUUUUGGAAUUUGCUUUAUUUUCAUGUAACUUUUGUGUAUCUAAAUAAUUACAGUUGUAUUAGUUUGAAUCUAGUCAGUGAGAUGAACAGAGGAGCCUAUCUCUGUGUCAUUCUGGCCAAUAUUACAUUCUAUUACAUAAGAAGUGGGAAUUAAACAUAAGAAAUGGGAAUUAAAUCAAUUUUAAUGCACCAUUCUAAUAAGAAGACAACUGUAGUUCUAGAUUGCAAUUAUGGAGUUAAUUACAAUUUCAUUGGUACUGCUUAGGAUUAAGAAUACUAAGUUUACCUUGGGUGAACAUUUCAUUAUCUAGGAUGAAUCCAAGCUACUUUUCUUCUAAAUCAUAUCUUGGCUUAUUUCCUAACUUUGACUGUUUAAUAAAAGCAUAGAGAAUUUUACAGGUAGACUGUAUCAAAACAGGCUAGCUGGUUAACUUCAAAUUACUGUACAGUGAUUUGAGAAAAACAUUAAUUUUGAAGGAGCUCUGGAGGCUGAGUAUAAAGAUUAUUAAACAUAAGUUAUAUAUAUGCAGAAAAAUUGCUUUUGCAUGAAUUCACUUUUAAAAUGUUAAUAUAUGCAUAAGAAAAUUGUGUUUCUUAAUCUCUGAAGAAACACUUAUCACUAGGAACCACUUAAUUCUUUUCCUGCGCUUGAUUUAUUAGCUUAUGAAAUUAUGCUAAUAGUUUGCAUGCUAAUGGUUUUGGGGCUCAAAUGACCUGAUUUUAAUAAUGAAGUAAUUUAUGCAGUAAAUGCAAUCAUCAUCCAUGAAUCUCACUUAAAAGAACGUAUCAGUGAUUACCUGUGCUAAAACCAAAUGCCUGUCA